AAUUUUUGACAAUGGGCGAAAGCCUGAUGGAGCAACGCCGCGUGAGUGAAGAAGGUUUUCGGAUCGUAAAACUCUGUUGUAAGGGAAGAACAAGUACAGGAGGAACUGGCUGUACCUUGCCGGUACCUUAUUAGAAAGCCACGGCUAACUACGUGCCAGCAGCCGCGUUAAUACGUAGGUGGCAAGCUUUGGCCGGAAUUAUUGGGCGUAAAGCGCGGGCAAGCGGUCCUUUAAGUCUGAUGUGAAAGCCCACGGCUCAACCGUGGAGGGUCAUUGGAAACUGGGGGGCUUGAGUGCAGAAGAGGAAAGUGGAAUUCCAAGUGUAGCGGUGAAAUGCGUAGAGAUUUGGAGGAACACCAGUGGCGAAGGCGACUUUCUGGUCUGUAACUGACGCUGAGGCGCGAAAGCGUGGGGAGCAAACAGG
RNAcentral lists this ribosomal RNA (424 nucleotides) under uncultured bacterium. Its description in RNAcentral is "partial 16S ribosomal RNA". It matches the Rfam family "Bacterial small subunit ribosomal RNA", at positions 360 to 776 of the family's 1533-position model. The record is from RNAcentral.